GAAAGAAAAAAAAUCACAAUUCUUCAGAUUCUCAAAUUUUCUCGCUCUUUCUUUUAGCAUUCUCUCGAUCCAUCGUAGAUUUGUGUAGAAGAUUAGGUUGAACAUAACUCGAGGUUGCUUGAUUUGGCGUGAAUCUUUCGCGAUUUGGGUUUUGAAGAAGCAUGUCUCCGCCAUUGAAAUUGUACUUGGAAUAUGCUUGAUUUGGCAUGAAUCUGCUACCAUCAUCCUCUGGGUUUUAAUGAUAAUUUUGGGUUUCGAAGAAGCUUGUAUCCGCUUGAAACAUGUCAUCGAGCGCAAGUGCUGGGAUAGGUGGUACUAUGCUAAUGGCUCGUCUUGCUACCGGAGUUGCUAAACCAUCCGGCCAACUUUACAUCUCUGCUGAGAAGGUAGAGGAGUUCUUGGAUCAGCUUCCAGUUGGGACACUACCCGGUGUAGGUUCUGUGUUGAAGGAGAAGCUGGUGAAGCAAAAUAUUCAAACCUGUGGGCAGUUACGUUUGAUUUCCAAGGAUUCUCUUCAAAAGGAUUUUGGGGUGAAAACUGGCGAGAUGCUUUGGAGUUAUAGCAGAGGACUAGACCUACGGUCAGUUACAGCGGUGCAGAUAUAUUGGAUGGAUAGUGCAUGCAUGUUGGGAGGGAAUGACCAACAGUUUAAGAAGUCUAUAAGACAGAGACUGGAUAAAGGGGAAAAAGGAAUAAAAAGAGUUCACAAUAUGACUCUCCCCGACUUAAGACAUUGAAAGAAGUCACAUACUUUGGGUUGGAUGGUAAAAACGACCAACCCUUUGUUUGAUGGGGGAAUGAUCAACGGCUUAAGAAGUCUAUAAGACAGAGACUGUAUAAAGGGGAAAAAGAAAAGGACUACCCCUGACUUAAGACAUAGAAAGAAGUCACAGGCUUUGGGUUGGAUGGUAUAACCGACCAACCUUUUGUUUGAUGGAAUCAGACCACCGGCUUAAAGAACUCUAUAAGACAGAGACUGUAUAAAGGGGAAAAAGAAAAGGACUACCCCUGACUUAAGACAUAGAAAGAAGUCACAGGCUUUGGGUUGGAUGGUAUAACCGACCAACCUUUUGUUUGAUGGAAUCAGACCACCGGCUUAAAGAACUCUAUAAGACAGAGACUGUAUAAAGGGGAAAAAGAAAAGGACUACCCCUGACUUAAGACAUAGAAAGAAGUCACAGGCUUUGGGUUGGAUGGUAUAACCGACCAACCUUUUGUUUGAUGGAAUCAGACCACCGGCUUAAAGAACUCUAUAAGACAGAGACUGUAUAAAGGGGAAAAAGAAAAGGACUACCCCUGACUUAAGACAUAGAAAGAAGUCACAGGCUUUGGGUUGGAUGGUAUAACCGACCAACCUUUUGUUUGAUGGAAUCAGACCACCGGCUUAAAGAACUCUAUAAGACAGAGACUGUAUAAAGGGGAAAAAGAAAAGGACUACCCCUGACUUAAGACAUAGAAAGAAGUCACAGGCUUUGGGUUGGAUGGUAUAACCGACCAACCUUUUGUUUGAUGGAAUCAGACCACCGGCUUAAAGAACUCUAUAAGACAGAGACUGUAUAAAGGGGAAAAAGAAAAGGACUACCCCUGACUUAAGACAUAGAAAGAAGUCACAGGCUUUGGGUUGGAUGGUAUAACCGACCAACCUUUUGUUUGAUGGAAUCAGACCACCGGCUUAAAGAACUCUAUAAGACAGAGACUGUAUAAAGGGGAAAAAGAAAAGGACUACCCCUGACUUAAGACAUAGAAAGAAGUCACAGGCUUUGGGUUGGAUGGUAUAACCGACCAACCUUUUGUUUGAUGGAAUCAGACCACCGGCUUAAAGAACUCUAUAAGACAGAGACUGUAUAAAGGGGAAAAAGAAAAGGACUACCCCUGACUUAAGACAUAGAAAGAAGUCACAGGCUUUGGGUUGGAUGGUAUAACCGACCAACCUUUUGUUUGAUGGAAUCAGACCACCGGCUUAAAGAACUCUAUAAGACAGAGACUGUAUAAAGGGGAAAAAGAAAAGGACUACCCCUGACUUAAGACAUCGAAAGAAGUCACAGACUUUGGGUUGGGUGGUAUAAACGACCAACCUUUUGUUUGAUGGAGGAAUGACCAACGGCUUAAGAAGUCUGAUGACAAAGACUGGAUAAAGGGGAAAAAAGAAGAGAAAGAGUUCACAAUUUAACUACCCCUGACUUAAGACAUAGAACGAAGUCAAAGACUUUGGGUUGGAUGGUUAAAACGACCAACACCGUAAGAGAAAGAAGCUGCGAUAAAGGCUGAACCUAAAACUAAAAGACCAACGGCUUAAAGAAGUUAAAAAGGGUUACCAACGGCUUAAAGAAGUUAAAAGACUAAGGAGCAGUUACCAACGGCUUAAAGAAAUAAGACAAAGAUAUGUGACAGAGACCAUGGAGUGGUUUGUUGGAUGGUAAAAACGACCAGCACCGUAAGAGAAAGAGGUUACGAUAAAGGCUGAACCUGGAACUAAUAGACCAACAGCUUAAAGAAGUUAAAAGACUGUGGAGCGGUUAACAACGGCUUAAAGAAAUAAGACAAAGAUAUGUGACAGAGACAUUGGAGUGGUUAAGACUUGUUGGAUGGUAAAAACGACCCACGACUUUAAGAAGGCUUAAAAAAAAGGCUGAGCCUAAAACAAAGAGGUUUCUCAUUCUUAGAUAGAAAUGACGAUCAAUAGCUUCAAAAAAUGAGGUAAGUAUCAAGCAUUUAAUUAAAUGAAGACUAACCAACUUUAAUUUCUGCAGGUUAUGUGCUUCUGAAGGCGUUGAGGAGAUUUCAAGUGCAGCAGACUUCUUGAACAGCAGAACAGGUAUAUACUUCAAACUUGUUUGUAAUUAUGAUACUAUUUUGAUUUGUUCAGCUAUAUGCUUAUCUCUGUUUUGGUGCUUGUAAGUAUCAUAGGUUCUCCCUUUUAGUCGCUUGAGUUAUGUUUACAAGUUAAAACCCUUGGUGAUUAUUCUACUGGUGUGAAUGUCUUUUUAAAUUCUGCAUCGUUUGUGUAUAAUGGUAGUAUUUUCUGUUGUUUGCGAUAAAAAGGUAGAUUUUGUUUUGAAACAUUUUAUUGUGUAUAAAAUUCUUACUAUCUCUGUUUUGGUGCUUUUAUGUAACAUAAGGUUUCUCAUUCUAUGAAAUGUAUGCUGUAGUAGUUGUCUUAUAUCUCAAAUGUAUCUUAGUAAUCUGCAUCAUUAACUGAUGAUUACAGUUUUAAAUUUCUACAGAUUCUACAUGUUGCUUGAGUCUUUACUAUAUAAAAUGAUUGAAAAUAUCUUUCUUAUGGUAGUAGAGUCUAAUCUUAGUCUUAUUGAGUUGCUGGAGCUUGAAAUCUAUUGAAUUACUAGUAUGUGAAAUGGAUCUCUCUUGAUUUUCCUACCAUGUUUUUUCUUUCAAUAACACUAUUCUAUGACUGAUGUCAAAAUCAGAAUUUAGUACACUUUUAUCAUCAUCAUAGUUGGCAUUUGGAAGAACUGCUAUGAUAUUCUCUGCUCUUUAGGUUGACUAAUUGUAUUCUAUGUGUAAUAUUUUGUUUGUUUGGUUUGCUAUAUUAGUUGUUAGACUUGAAAGUUCUUCUAGUACAUAUAUAUAUGCUCAAACUCGAGUUUUUUUUGUUUGUCAUGUUCUAUUACGUUUUUAUGGAACAACAUUACUAUCAAUGUGUAUAUAUCUUGUACUUCAUUUUUUAACUCUAUUUGUAAUCUUUUAAGAAAGGAAUAUUUAAUAUUGUUUGUUUGUUUGAAAUAGACACUUUGAUUUCAGUUUUGGGUUUGUCAAUUACCAUUGUCCUUCUGUAAUUUUUUUCCAUUGUGUUGCAUUUUGGUUUGUUGUCAGAUUGUCUUUAGAUAAUACUUCUUUGACUUUUGCCUUUUGAUUCUCUGAAUAUUUACUGUGGUAAAUUGACUUAACUGUUUUGGGAAAUAUGUAUUCUUGUAUGUUUAUCCUAAAUUAUACCCCAAGUAAGAAUCCAUCAUCAAUGUCGUACGGUUAGUAUGAUGAAUAUUCCAAACAUAUGAAAUGAUAUUUUAUACCUAUUAUCUUUCCUUUGGUGCAUGUAUGUAGCAUAAGAUCUCAUGCUCUAAAUUCUUGGUGAUUGGCUCAAACAUACAAUAUAACAUUCUCGAAUUGUGCAUCAAAGACUGAUGAUUAUUGUCCUAGCAUUCUACCAAGUAUACUCAUUGCUUGAUUUUCUUACAAUUGAUUUUCUUACAAUACAAAUUGUAAAUAUUUGUGUUAUGGCACUAGUGUCUAUUUUUAGUCACUUAAUCUUACAACUUCAUGGUGCUUAGAACUCCAUUGAAUCACUAGUGUAUCCAAUUAGAAAGUGCAAUGAAUCUUAGUUUGAUUUCUCUGUUAGUUACUUUUUUUGUUUAAUAAUACAAUUAUGUAAUUGACAUACAGUUUUAUCAUGUCCACUAUAUGCAUGUGACUGUAGUCUUUGUGUCUACAGUCUACUAAAUGUAUUUAUGCUUUCUUAAUCACUUCCCUGUUUCUUACUAUUCUAGAUCAUUAUAAGAGUUUGUUAGAUUAUUUCUUAACAUGCAUGAGACACAUGUGAUUAAUAAAAUAUUGGUGAACAUAGUUCUUGUACUAACAUCACAAUCGUCAUCUUCUUCUUCUUUUUUUGGGUCUUCGUUACUGUGUAGCGAAAUUAAAAAAAAAAAUGAACAUAGUUCUUACAUUUUGGUUGGUUGUCCAAGUUUCUUUUGUUUAUACUUUCUUUGGAUGAUACCAUCUUGAAUUCUGCUUCAUGGUUUUUGCAUAGUUAAUUGAAGAGUGGUAAAGUCUUUCUUAGGAAUAUUUAUUCUUCUUGUAUGUUUAUCCUAAAUUAUACUCGAUUAAGGGUCAAUAUUUGGUUAUGCAUUGCAUAUAGAGGAUAAGACAUGACUUGAAUCGUUUGUUUAAAGAGUAAUACUUUUCAUGAUCGAACCUAUAACUUGAAUACUAUUAAACUAACUAUUGUAUACCAAAUCAAAUUAGUUUCUCAAAUAUAAACAGAGAUAUAUUCGUAAUAUUUGGAGACUAGGAGUGGUGGGCAAAACAUGAUGAGUUAUAUAUACCAUAAUUAAAAGGAAAAAAAAUCAUAAUACUGUAUAGCAUAAUUUUAUAGAAAUUAUUUUAAAAAGAGUCUAUAAAAUAUUAAUUAAUAAAAUAGUAUAAAAGAUACCAAUCAAGCUAAGAUUUCAUUGCACUAUAAUUAUAAUUUAAAAUUCAACUGUAAUUAUAGAGAAUUAGAGCAUCUCCAAUGGCAAUAUAAUUUAUUUAUUUGAAUUUAAUUUUCUUAUCUAUCUAAAUUUUAAGUGAUGAAUAAAAUUGAAUCAAUUACGUUAAGAUAAGUGGCAUGUGGGGGUUAUUAAAUAUUAACAAAGAACCUCUCCUCACUCUCUUUCCUUUCUAUGAUUAAUUUUUAUUAUUUUAAUGUUAAGAAGCUCCCUGCAAUGCAUUUCGAGAUAUUGUAAAAAGAAAUUAACUGUUAGCAAUUAACAAAUAAAAAUUCACUUCGUAUAAUACUUUAAAAAAUGAUUAAAAAUUAGUUUUGGUAUAACUGAAUGAAAUAUGUGAUUAUACAUAUGAAUGAGCUAAUAGUGACGGACCAACCUCAUCGUACUAGUCUUUUUUAUUUUGUGAUCAUCCAUGCUUUCGUUCAAUUAUAGUGGAUACGAAAAUUCAAUUUUUUGUUUCUUUUCAACUUCCAAAUUCCGAGAAGAAAAAAAACAGAGAAAAAAAAUGAUGAACCAAAUGGUUUAUUUUUACCACUCUUCUGUUCAUAGCUAUCUUCCUCACCUCUCAGUCCACCACCACUGCUUACAAUUUCAAUUUCAAUUAUUUUGGUGGUAACGGCACCAAUCUAUUAUCAUUCCACGGAGACUCUGCGUAUGAUCCGAAUAUCUCAAGAGCCAUCGCAUUGACACGAGACAACAUCCCUUUCUCUCACGGCCGAGCCAUUCUCAUCGUUCCAUUCUUUUGGUGGUAACGGCACCAAUCUAUUAUCAUUCCACGGAGACUCUGCGUAUGAUCCGAAUAUCUCAAUAGCCAUCGCAUUGACACAAGACAACGUCCCUUUCUCUCACGGCCGAGCCAUUCUCAUCGUUCCAAUCUAACGCUACAUCUCUUUACCUUUCAGAACCUCUUUCACUUUCUCCAUUACUCAUAAAACAAACCCUGGUCUAGGCCACGGCCUCGCGUUCAUCGUCGUACCCGCUAUUAACCAACACGAGGUUUAGAUUAUCUCAUUCUCGUGAACCAAACCAGCAAUGGUAAUCCCAAGAACCAUCUCUUUGCUUUCGAGUUUGAUCAUUGAUGUCUUUCAAGACAAGAACCUCGGUGACAUGAACGAUAACCAUGUCGGAAUCGACAUUAAUUCGAUCGAGUCGGUGGUUUCGGUCAAAUCCGGUUAUUGGGUUAUGCCAAGAAACGGUUGGUUGUUUAAGGAUUUGAAGCCGAGUAGUGGAGAUAGGUACAAGGCUUGGAUUGAGUACAAACAACAAUUACAAAGUUAUCUCCGUUAACAUUAGUUUAGCGUAUUUGAAGAAACCGAACCGGCCUUUGAUCGAAGCAAAACUCGAGCUUUCCAAUGUGGUUCACGAGGUAAUGUAUAUCGGUUUCGCCGGUUUGAUGGGCCGUGGUGUCCAGGCGUCCAGAGUCAUGAGAUUUGGGACUGGGUUUUCCAUAACUAAAAUACCGGUUCGGUUUCGUUCGAAAUCAUCGGUUGUGUUUCUGGUUUGUAUUGUCUCAGAUUUGUGAUAAUUGAAGUGAAAAUAAAUGUUUAUUUUAUGGCUUUGCCAACGAACAUUUAUUUUGAAGAUAUGAACAUUUACUUUCAACGAUCAUUCAUUUUGAAGAUAUGAACAUUCAUUUUGUACUUUCAAGAAAAAAUCCAAUAUGGUUUAUAUUA
Non-coding RNA from Camelina sativa (false flax), 6892 nucleotides. The record is from RefSeq and is a predicted model, not a curated record. NCBI's taxonomy places the organism in Eukaryota, Viridiplantae, Streptophyta, Magnoliopsida, Brassicales, Brassicaceae.